GAGCGAGAAAGCGGGAGCAAUCCUGUGAGUACAGCGGCGUACGGGUGAGUAACACGUGGAUGAUCUACCUGAGAGUGGGGAAUAACUCUGGGAAACCGGAGCUAAUACCGCAUAAGCCUGAGAAGGGAAAGCUCGCAAGGGCGCUCUAAGAGGAGUCCGCGGCCGAUUAGCUAGUUGGUGAGGUAACGGCUCACCAAGGCGGGGAUCGGUAGCCGGCCUGAGAGGGCACACGGCCACACUGGCACUGAAACACGGGCCAGACUCCUACGGGAGGCAGCAGUGGGGAAUCUUGCACAAUGGAGGCAACUCUGAUGCAGCGACGCCGCGUGAGCGAUGAAGCCCUUCGGGGUGUAAAGCUCUUUCGGCAGGGACGAUCAUGACGGUACCUGCAGGAGAAGCUGCGGCUAACUACGUG
RNAcentral lists this ribosomal RNA (415 nucleotides) under uncultured bacterium. RNAcentral's name for it is "bacterial SSU rRNA". It matches the Rfam family "Bacterial small subunit ribosomal RNA", at positions 64 to 507 of the family's 1533-position model. The record is from RNAcentral.